RNAcentral lists this ribosomal RNA (500 nucleotides) under uncultured bacterium. RNAcentral's name for it is "partial 16S ribosomal RNA". It matches the Rfam family "Bacterial small subunit ribosomal RNA", at positions 30 to 523 of the family's 1533-position model. The record is from RNAcentral.
AUUGAACGCUGGCGGCAGGCCUAACACAUGCAAGUCGAGCGGAUGAGUGGAGCUUGCUCCAUGAUUCAGCGGCGGACGGGUGAGUAAUGCCUAGGAAUCUGCCUAUUAGUGGGGGACAACGUUUCGAAAGGAACGCUAAUACCGCAUACGUCCUACGGGAGAAAGCAGGGGACCUUCGGGCCUUGCGCUAAUAGAUGAGCCUAGGUCGGAUUAGCUAGUUGGUGAGGUAAUGGCUCACCAAGGCGACGAUCCAUAACUGGUCUGAGAGGAUGAUCAGUCACACUGGAACUGAGACACGGUCCAGACUCCUACGGGAGGCAGCAGUGGGGAAUAUUGGACAAUGGGCGAAAGCCUGAUCCAGCCAUGCCGCGUGUGUGAAGAAGGUCUUCGGAUUGUAAAGCACUUUAAGUUGGGAGGAAGGGUUGUACGUUAAUACCGUGCAAUUUUGACGUUACCGACAGAAUAAGCACCGGCUAACUCUGUGCCAGCCGCCGCGGUAA